RNAcentral lists this ribosomal RNA (29 nucleotides) under Eltroplectris calcarata. RNAcentral describes it as "26S ribosomal RNA". The record is from RNAcentral. Lineage: Eukaryota; Viridiplantae; Streptophyta; Magnoliopsida; Asparagales; Orchidaceae.
GACCCCAGGAUGGGCGGGAUGACCCGCUG